RNAcentral lists this RNase MRP RNA (425 nucleotides) under Pleurotus ostreatus PC15. RNAcentral describes it as "RNase MRP". It matches the Rfam family "RNase MRP". From Rfam's summary of the family: RNase MRP is an enzymatically active ribonucleoprotein with two distinct roles in eukaryotes. In mitochondria it plays a direct role in the initiation of mitochondrial DNA replication. The record is from Rfam by way of RNAcentral. Lineage: Eukaryota; Fungi; Basidiomycota; Agaricomycetes; Agaricales; Pleurotaceae.
AUGCUGUCUGAAGAAUCGCUGUCGCAGCUCACGCACGGAGAGCCUCCAACUCUCUUUUUCCGCUGUGGGGAAAGUCCCCGGAGAUACAGAGCAUGGUCCCGUCCCUCCCAAUGGGAAAGCAGCCAGCUUUAAGCGCGCUGGAUUUUGGACGUCGGAUCGGCGAGAAUGCAUUGCCCCUCCGCUCACCGAUGGACUCGUACUCGCUCGGUCUGGGUGUUCACGCGAAGGGCUCCCUCUCGGCCACUCUGUUGCCUCAUCCCGAUACUCGCCGCUUGGUGAAGGCCCGAUUCCGCGAAGAUACGAGCGGGAUUUUGCUCAGGCGGUGUGGUGGACGGCGGGCAAUUCGUUACUCAUAGAUACAGUCAUGCGAUUGUGGACUUCUUUGCCGUCGUCUUCAACUCAAUGGGGCUUACUCUCAUUCAGCA